GAGUUUGAUCCUGGCUCAGAUUGAACGCUAGCGGGAUGCCUUACACAUGCAAGUCGAACGGCAGCACGGACUUCGGUCUGGUGGCGAGUGGCGAACGGGUGAGUAAUGUAUCGGAACGUGCCUAGUAGCGGGGGAUAACUACGCGAAAGCGUAGCUAAUACCGCAUACGCCCUACGGGGGAAAGCAGGGGAUCGUAAGACCUUGCACUAUUAGAGCGGCCGAUAUCGGAUUAGCUAGUUGGUGGGGUAACGGCUCACCAAGGCGACGAUCCGUAGCUGGUUUGAGAGGACGACCAGCCACACUGGGGCUGAGACACGGCCCAGACUCCUACGGGAGGCAGCAGUGGGGAAUUUUGGACAAUGGGGGAAACCCUGAUCCAGCCAUCCCGCGUGUGCGAUGAAGGCCUUCGGGUUGUAAAGCACUUUUGGCAGGAAAGAAACGUCCCGGAAUAAUACCCCGGGAAACUGACGGUACCUGCAGAAUAAGCACCGGCUAACUACGUGCCAGCAGCCGCGGUAAUACGUAGGGUGCAAGCGUUAAUCGGAAUUACUGGGCGUAAAGCGUGCGCAGGCGGUUCGGAAAGAAAGAUGUGAAAUCCCAGAGCUUAACUUUGGAACUGCAUUUUUAACUACCGAGCUAGAGUGUGUCAGAGGGAGGUGGAAUUCCGCGUGUAGCAGUGAAAUGCGUAGAUAUGCGGAGGAACACCGAUGGCGAAAGGCAGCCUCCUGGGAUAACACUGACGCUCAUGCACGAAAGCGUGGGGAGCAAA
Molecule: ribosomal RNA, 769 nt
Filed under: Alcaligenaceae bacterium KAs3-R4
Lineage: Bacteria; Pseudomonadati; Pseudomonadota; Betaproteobacteria; Burkholderiales; Alcaligenaceae
Description: bacterial SSU rRNA
Rfam family: Bacterial small subunit ribosomal RNA
Source: RNAcentral